This 254-nucleotide ribosomal RNA is filed under the name uncultured bacterium. Its description in RNAcentral is "partial 16S ribosomal RNA". It matches the Rfam family "Bacterial small subunit ribosomal RNA", at positions 524 to 776 of the family's 1533-position model. The record is from RNAcentral.
UACGUAGGGUGCGAGCGUUUAAUCGGAAUUACUGGGCGUAAAGUGUGCGCAGGCGGCCGAGCAAGUCGAGUGUGAAAGCCCCGGGCUUAACUUGGGAAUUGCGCUCGAAACUACUUGGCUGGAGUGUGGCAGAGGAAGGUGGAAUUCCAGGUGUAGCGGUGAAAUGCGUAGAGAUCUGGAGGAACACCGAUGGCGAAGGCAGGUCUCUGGGCCACUACUGACGCUGAGAAGCGAAAGCAUGGGGAGCGAACAGG